UGGCCUCGAACUCAGAAAUCUGCCUGCCU
This 29-nucleotide non-coding RNA is filed under the name Mus musculus (house mouse). Lineage: Eukaryota; Metazoa; Chordata; Mammalia; Rodentia; Muridae. The record is from RNAcentral.